UAGGGAAUCUUCGGCAAUGGACGAAAGUCUGACCGAGCAACGCCGCGUGAGUGAAGAAGGUUUUCGGAUCGUAAAACUCUGUUGUUAGAGAAGAACAAGGACGUUAGUAACUGAACGUCCCCUGACGGUAUCUAACCAGAAAGCCACGGCUAACUACGUGCCAGCAGCCGCGGUAAUACGUAGGUGGCAAGCGUUGUCCGGAUUUAUUGGGCGUAAAGCGAGCGCAGGCGGUUUCUUAAGUCUGAUGUGAAAGCCCCCGGCUCAACCGGGGAGGGUCAUUGGAAACGGGGAGACUGGAGUGCAGAAGAGGAGAGUGGAAUUCCAUGUGUAGCGGUGAAAUGCGUAGAUAUAUGGAGGAACACCAGUGGCUAAGGCGGCUCUCUGGUCUGUAACUGACGCUGAGGCUCGAAAGCGUGGGGAGCAAACAGG
RNAcentral lists this ribosomal RNA (429 nucleotides) under Gemmatimonadota bacterium. Its description in RNAcentral is "Gemmatimonadetes bacterium partial 16S ribosomal RNA". It matches the Rfam family "Bacterial small subunit ribosomal RNA", at positions 355 to 776 of the family's 1533-position model. The record is from RNAcentral. Lineage: Bacteria; Pseudomonadati; Gemmatimonadota.